UUGGGGACGCCCUCCUCCCUCAAGCUCCUCCCUCCGGGCUCAGAGCCUAGGCAAGCGGGCCAAAUAGGGGAGACCCCAGACAGCUGGCCAGGAAGACACCAGAGUUAAGAGCCAGUCAGAGGCUCCUAGGAGCAAUCUCCCCUACACAGGAUGAAACGUACUCACAAAUAUCACACAGGAAAUGAUCCAAGCUAAUCUGCUAUCUUGACCCUGGACAAAUAUAGUAUUAGCCAGAGAGGGAGAGUGAUAUCACACGCUUGGCAGGCCUUAGGGAGUGCUAGGCAGCGCGU
RNAcentral lists this long non-coding RNA (290 nucleotides) under Rattus norvegicus (Norway rat). RNAcentral describes it as "long non-coding RNA NONRATT032694". The record is from RNAcentral. Lineage: Eukaryota; Metazoa; Chordata; Mammalia; Rodentia; Muridae.